Molecule: ribosomal RNA, 253 nt
Filed under: uncultured bacterium
Lineage: Bacteria
Description: partial 16S ribosomal RNA
Rfam family: Bacterial small subunit ribosomal RNA
Source: RNAcentral
GACGGAGGAUGCAAGUGUUAUCCGGAAUCACUGGGCGUAAAGCGUCUGUAGGUGGUUUAAUAAGUCAACUGUUAAAUCUUGAGGCUCAACCUCAAAAUCGCAGUCGAAACUAUUAGGCUAGAGUAUAGUAGGGGUAAAGGGAAUUUCCAGUGGAGCGAUGAAAUGCGUAGAGAUUGGAAAGAACACCGAUGGCGAAGGCACUUUACUGGGCUAUUACUAACACUCAGAGACGAAAGCUAGGGUAGCAAAUGGG